Molecule: unclassified non-coding RNA, 388 nt
Filed under: soil metagenome
Description: partial contains 5.8S ribosomal RNA, internal transcribed spacer 2, and large subunit ribosomal RNA
Rfam family: 5.8S ribosomal RNA (bases 1-123)
Source: RNAcentral
GAUGAAGGAACGUAGCGAAAUGCGAUAAGUAAUGUGAAUUGCAGAAUUCAGUGAAUCAUCGAAUCUUUGAACGCACCUUGCACCCUUUGGACUGCUCCAAAGGGUAUGCUCGUUUGAGUGUCAUUGUACUCUCACACUCUCUGAUCCUUUGGAUUUGGGGAGCAGUGGACUUGGGUGCUUGCUGCUUCCUUGUGGCUCACCUGAAAUGCAUCAGUGCAUCUCUCGAUUGGACAUAGUACGGCGUGAUAAGUGUCUUCGCCGGCACCUCAUAUGAGGGUGGCCGAUCGGGAGCUCUGUGCUUUCAAACCGUCUUCGGACAACGCUGACAACUUGACCUCAAAUCGAGUAGGACUACCCGCUGAACUUAAGCAUAUCAAUAAGCGGAGGA